GGUUGCGAUCAUACCAGCACUAAUGCACCGGAUCCCAUCAGAACUCCGCAAUUAAGCGUGCUUGGGCGAGAGUAGUACUAGGAUGGGUGACCCCCUGGGAAAUCCUCGUGUUGCAACCGCC
This 121-nucleotide ribosomal RNA is filed under the name Helianthus annuus (common sunflower). Lineage: Eukaryota; Viridiplantae; Streptophyta; Magnoliopsida; Asterales; Asteraceae. The record is from RNAcentral.